Molecule: transfer RNA, 62 nt
Filed under: Ictidomys tridecemlineatus (thirteen-lined ground squirrel)
Lineage: Eukaryota; Metazoa; Chordata; Mammalia; Rodentia; Sciuridae
Description: Spermophilus tridecemlineatus (thirteen-lined ground squirrel) tRNA
Rfam family: tRNA
About the family: Transfer RNA (tRNA) molecules are approximately 80 nucleotides in length. Their secondary structure includes four short double-helical elements and three loops (D, anti-codon, and T loops).
Source: Rfam by way of RNAcentral
UUGUGGCUCAGCGGUAGAGCGCUCACUUAGCAUGUGUGAGGCCUGGGUUCGAUCCUCAACAA